GAUGAAGAACGUAGCGAAAUGCGAUAAGUAAUGUGAAUUCAGAAUUCAGUGAAUCAUCGAAUUUUUGAACGCAUAUUGCGCCCUUUGGCAUUCCGAAGGGCAUGCCUGUUCGAGCGUCAUUACACCCCUCAAACCUGUGUUUGAUGUUGGGCACCUGCCGUAAGGGCUUGCCUAAAAGACAGUGACGGUAACCUUAAACCUUAGGCGCACAGAUGCUGCCAUGAAGGCAAAUGGAAGCCGGUCUUAAACCAAAAUUUCUGAAUAUUGACCUCGGAUCAGGUAGGAAUACCCGCUGAACUUAAGCAUAUCAAUAAGCGGAGGA
This 322-nucleotide unclassified non-coding RNA is filed under the name soil metagenome. RNAcentral describes it as "partial contains 5.8S ribosomal RNA, internal transcribed spacer 2, and large subunit ribosomal RNA". The stretch from base 1 to 119 matches the Rfam family "5.8S ribosomal RNA", at positions 35 to 154 of the family's 154-position model. The record is from RNAcentral.